ACUUUCAGCAACGGAUUGUCUUUGGCUCCUACAACGAUGAAGAACGCAGCGAAAUGCGAUACGUAAUGCGAAUUGCAGAGUCUUAGUGGAAUCAUCAAAAUUUUGGAACGCACAUUGCCGCUUCCCUUCCCCGGGAGCAUGUCUU
This 145-nucleotide ribosomal RNA is filed under the name Olisthodiscus luteus. RNAcentral describes it as "5.8S ribosomal RNA". It matches the Rfam family "5.8S ribosomal RNA". Rfam says of the family: 5.8S ribosomal RNA (5.8S rRNA) is a component of the large subunit of the eukaryotic ribosome. It is transcribed by RNA polymerase I as part of the 45S precursor that also contains 18S and 28S rRNA. Functionally, it is thought that 5.8S rRNA may be involved in ribosome translocation. Lineage: Eukaryota; Olisthodiscophyceae; Olisthodiscaceae. The record is from RNAcentral.